GAUGAACGCUGGCGGCGUGCUUAACACAUGCAAGUCGAUCGGAAAGGCCCAAGCUUGCUUGGGUACUCGAGUGGCGAACGGGUGAGUAACACGUGGGUGAUCUGCCCUGCACUUCGGGAUAAGCCUGGGAAACUGGGUCUAAUACCGGAUAGGACCACUUCUUGGAUGUUGUGGUGGAAAGUUUUUUCGGUGUGGGAUGAGCUCGCGGCCUAUCAGCUUGUUGGUGGGGUAAUGGCCUACCAAGGCGUCGACGGGUAGCCGGCCUGAGAGGGUGUACGGCCACAUUGGGACUGAGAUACGGCCCAGACUCCUACGGGAGGCAGCAGUGGGGAAUAUUGCACAAUGGGCGCAAGCCUGAUGCAGCGACGCCGCGUGGGGGAUGACGGCCUUCGGGUUGUAAACUCCUUUCGCUAGGGACGAAGCGUUUUGUGACGGUACCUGGAGAAGAAGCACCGGCUAACUACGUG
RNAcentral lists this ribosomal RNA (467 nucleotides) under uncultured bacterium. Its description in RNAcentral is "partial 16S ribosomal RNA". It matches the Rfam family "Bacterial small subunit ribosomal RNA", at positions 28 to 507 of the family's 1533-position model. The record is from RNAcentral.